This is an RNA transcript of Frankliniella occidentalis (western flower thrips), 1109 nucleotides long. It is a transcript of the gene named probable basic-leucine zipper transcription factor Q, with no coding region annotated. NCBI's taxonomy places the organism in Eukaryota, Metazoa, Arthropoda, Insecta, Thysanoptera, Thripidae. The record is from RefSeq and is a predicted model, not a curated record. The transcript is spliced from 4 exons.
GUGGCGGGGGGGCGGCCACUCUCCGAGGGGCGGCGCGCCCGCGGCGCUGGCCCCCUCCGAGCAGGCCCCCACCGAGGCGCAGCAUGGUGCGCUGCGUCCCGCCCGUCGCGCUGGCGCUCGUCGCGGUGCUCGUCGCGGUGCUGGCGACCGCGCGCGCCCAGGAGGAGCACGACCAGGGCAGGACAGAAUCCGCCAUCUCGGUGUGCGACUCGAUCAGCUGCGAGCUCGACUGCCGGAAGAAGACCAAGGACUGCGGCGCAUUCGGCUGCAACGGCGUGUGCAUCGGCUUCUCGUGCCAGUGCUUCACCAAGCCCCGGGCGCCCAGCGGCGGCUGGAAGGAGUACAACCCCCUCGCGGAGGGGUACGAGUCACUCUAUGGCACCCUGUACGACUCCGGAGGAGGAUCACAACCCGUCCUUCAACAACAACUACAACAACAACAGCAGCAGCAGCAGAUGCUGCUACUGCAACAGACGCAGCAACAGCCACAACAACAGUUCUUCCAACCGCCACCGCCGCCACCACCACCGGCACCCACUCAACAACCCCCACUGGUGGUGGUCCAGCAGCAGCAGCUCCACCAGAUACAACAGCAGCAGCACCAGCACCAACAGCAGCAGCAGCAACAGCAACAGUUGUACCUGCAGCUGCAGCUCCAGCUGCGGCAGCGCGUCCAGGAGCAGCUGCAGCAGCAGGCGCAGCAGCACCAACAGCUGACCCAGCAGCUCAGCCAGCAGACAGAGCAGGCCGAGCUGCAGGACACGCAACCACACUUACAGCAAUUGCAACAACAACAACAACAACAACAACAACAACAACAACAACAACAGUGGCAACAAGUUCAACAAUACGACAACGUGCAGCAACUGCGUUAACGGCUGACUUGUUAUUUGGUGCGGCGGGGUGGGCUGGGCUAACAGGGCACUCCAGUCUAUUUGGAACGCAGAGGACAAACUCUCCCAAUCUGCUGUUUGAGUUUGUCCACGCCUCUACAUCUUGUUACUCUUUCUACUUCCGGUCUCAGCGCAACUCGGGUUACGUGAUUAGAAGAACCAUACGCGUCUGUUAGAGGAUUUCGUUCCAACAAGAAUUUUUCCUAAAUUGUGUAA